Molecule: long non-coding RNA, 2818 nt
Filed under: Lynx pardinus (Iberian lynx)
Lineage: Eukaryota; Metazoa; Chordata; Mammalia; Carnivora; Felidae
Source: RNAcentral
CGCGCAAUGAUGACGUGACGGGAGCCAUUUUGGAAGUUCGUUACCUUUCGUUGGGUCUUCAGACGGACAGCGUUCUCUAAUCGUUUCUUUUGGUCAAAUUCCUGAGAAGUGCUGUUCAAAAGGUAAGGAAGAAAAAGAAAACAUAUAAGUAAAACUGUUAAUAACUAUCCAUGGGAAUCUUUGGGCUGAGUCAGUCAAACGGUAGGGAAUUAAGUUUUGUUCAUUGUUUUAAAGGUCGUAAUACCUGAGUUCAGAAACCGCUCACAAUUGAGAAAAUGCCGCCUCUUGAAAUGGAUAUAGAAGUGGAAACCGAAGAGGUUUUAAGGAUGGACCACCAUAUGGUACAGGAGCUUACAGACCUAUGCUCGAAGAUAAAGAGGCUACUGUCAGAGCACUUGGAAAAGUAUAAGAGAAUUGAAAGAGAACGGAAACAUGCAAACCCGGUCGGCCACAAAAACGAAUUACAGAAAUAAAUGAAAAAAGAAACUAAGCAUGAGGAAAAAAAGGGAAAAGAUAGAAGAGACAACUAGAGAAUCUGACCAAGAGAUGCAAUCUACGCAUAAUAAGAAUACCUGAAAUAGAUGACAAAGCAAUUGAAGCAGAGACAAAAUUUAGGAACCAAUAGUAGAAAAUUUUCCAGACUUGAGGGACUAACUAGAUCGGCAAAUAGAAAAGCUCAUAGGCUACCAGAACUUAACGAAAAGAAAGCAACACUUAGACAUACCCUAGUGACGUUAAACUGGAAGAUAAAGAAAAAAUUCUACGAGUAUUUAGAGAAAGCAGGUUACUCAUAAAGGGGUAAAAGUCAGACUGACCUGAAAUUUCUUUUGCAGCUCCGAAUGCCAAAAAGACAAGCAAUGUCUACAGAGGUUUAAGGGAAAAUAAUUUUGAGCCAAGAAUUCUGUAUCCUGCUAAGUUAUUUCUAUACGAGGGCAACUGGAAGACAUUCACAGAUACUCAGGAGUUAAAGUAUAAAGUAUAUCACCCAAAUGCUGUCCUUGAAAAAUUUGUUAAAUGACGUUACUGCAACCCAUAAAAACCAUAAGUUAAAACAAUUCAAGGGUAGUGAAGCAAUUGUAUGAAAAAAAUAGGGUAAAAAAAAAAAACUGGGUAAGCAUUAAAGCUAGUUAAACAGCCUUAAGAUUAACUUGUUAGAUGUGGGGUUAUAAGACUAAGUGCAAAAAAUAGAUUUGUAAGUUAAAUGUAAAAUUUCACUUUCUCUCAUUUUAAACUGCAAAGGUGUGGUAAAUGUAUAAUUUAGAAAGCAAGUAAGAGCUGUUAUUUUUAGUAUGCAUUGUAGACAAAGAUAUGCAAGCUCUUCAGCUAAACAUAAGUAAAAUAAAAGGGCUUUGUCAGUGUGGACAGGACACAGUAAAGGCAUUCCAAGUGUUAAUCUGACAAAAUGGGAAAUCGGUACAGUUUUGUGUCCUCUAUUUUUAAUUAUAGAGGGGAAAAAAGUAACAAUUUUAUCUGUAAUGUGAAUACUGUGUAAAAAGAAAAUUUCUAAAUUCCUGGUUGGGGAGGUGGUAGAUGAAAACUUUGUUUUAUGUACAUCUUGUCCAGGGAAAAGCAGUAGUUCCUGUUUCAUGUAGUAGUUCAUUAUAAGUAAAUUUGGCACUGAAAUAAGGUUAUGGGUAAAUUAGAAUAUACCAGCUUUAUGGAUUGGAGAGGAAGUGUGAAAAAUAGCAAGGAAACAAAGUCCUAGAAAUUGAAGUAGGAGCAACGUUGUUAUCAGAAUUUAAGCUAUAACAAAGUAUAAAGCUGUAGGAUGUAAUAUUUAAGCUUUAUGUGGUAAAUAACGUGGCAUUCAUAUGUAAGAUGUUCAGUAUCUGAGUGGUAGUUUUACUGAUGUAUACAUAAGUCAUUUUAAGUGUAGACUUAAAAUUGUUGCAUUUUAUGUAUUUAAUAAAGUAAUUCUUAACAUACAUAUGGCAAAAACUGAUGGACUCUUAAACGUUCAUAGUCCUUAGUAAAGUAAGUGAAAGGAGAUAAAGUAAUUAAAUAGGAGUGUGUGUGUGUGUGUAUGUAUGUAUAGUAGGUAUUACUUUGCUACUUCAUUUGUAUUUUCAGAUUAUCCUGAAACAUGUCUAAAUGAUCUAACGUUAGGAUACAGAGAAAACUUUAAUGUAUGAUCACAUUGCACAAAUGACCACAUUGCAAAACAGCCUUGAAGCUAAGACUAGAUGUUGGAAAAUCACACACUUGGAAUUUUUGGAAUGUUCUUAAAUAACUUCGGCAAAGAGAAAAUUACAACAAACACUGGUAAUUCAGGAAAUGCUACAAUAAGGAUGUUCUACAUUACAUGUUGUGGGAUGGAUGCAUAAAAGGCAAGGAACAAGGAACAUUAGGUGAAGAGCGGAAUAUGCACCUAAUAAGAUAGACUUAGUAACUGGAGUUUCUAAAUUUAGUUACCUUCCGGUCUAAGUCUUACCACCACACCUGCCCCCCCGUACAAAAACUUACUAAAGUGUCAUCUCUUUCUUAGACUUCCAUAUAAUACUUCCUGCUUUGUGGUCUCUGUGAAAAUUAUGGUCUUCAGCAUUGCCUAGGAGCUUGUUAGAAAUGGGUCUCAGGCUAAUAACGUAGGAUUAGAUUAUAAAAUAUAUUAAGCAUCUAUAAAGUUUCUCACUGAGGGACGCCUAGGUGGUUCGGUUGAGUGUCCGACUCUUUGACUUGGGCUCAGGUCAUGAUCUCACGGUUUGUGAGUUCGAGCCCUGCAUCAAAUUCUGUGCUGACAGCUCAGAGCUUGGAGCCUGCUUCAGAUUCUGUGUCUCCCUGUCUCUCUCCCUCUGACCCUCCCCCCACCUCAAAAAUAAAC